GCCGAAGUGGUGGAAUUGGCAGACGCGCCGGACUCAAAAUCCGGUGGCCGCGAGGCCGUGCGGGUUCGACCCCCGCCUUCGGCACCA
Molecule: transfer RNA, 87 nt
Filed under: Neomoorella thermoacetica
Lineage: Bacteria; Bacillati; Bacillota; Clostridia; Neomoorellales; Neomoorellaceae
Also listed under: 2 other names
Description: Moorella thermoacetica tRNA-Leu
Rfam family: tRNA
About the family: Transfer RNA (tRNA) molecules are approximately 80 nucleotides in length. Their secondary structure includes four short double-helical elements and three loops (D, anti-codon, and T loops).
Source: RNAcentral